UGGGGGAUAUUGCACAAUGGGCGAAAGCCUGAUGCAGCGACGCCGCGUGGGGGAUGAAGGCCUUCGGGUUGUAAACUUCUUUUGCUCUGAACAAGGCGCACCAUGGGGUGUGUUGAGUGUAGGGGUUGAUUAGCGCCGGCUAACUACGUGCCAGCAGCCGCGGUAAUACGUAGGGCGCGAGCGUUGUCCGGAAUUAUUGGGCGUAAAGGGCUUGUAGGUGGCUGGUUGCGUCUGUCGUGAAAGCUCAUGGCUUAACUGUGGGUUUGCGGUGGGUACGGGCUGGCUUGAGUGCAGUAGGGGAGGCUGGAAUUCCUGGUGUAGCGCUGGAAUGCGCAGAUAUCAGGAGGAAUACCGGUGGCGAAGGCGGGUCUCUGGGCUGUUACUGACACUGAGGAGCGAAAGCAUGGGGAGCGAACAG
Molecule: ribosomal RNA, 418 nt
Filed under: bacterium
Lineage: Bacteria
Description: partial 16S ribosomal RNA
Rfam family: Bacterial small subunit ribosomal RNA
Source: RNAcentral